AACUCUAAAACGGCCUGAGUAUCUGCGGAACACUUCAUUCCGUUGACCAGUACUUGAACAUUAAGCUCACAGACAUCAGCGUCACUGAUCCAGAGAAAUAUCCACACAUGCUGUCAGUGAAAAACUGUUUCAUCCGUGGGUCUGUGGUCCGGUACGUGCAGCUGCCCGCUGAUGAGGUGGACACGCAGCUCCUGCAGGACGCGGCGCGGAAAGAAGCCAUGCAGCAGAAGCAAUGAGUGGGGGUGGAAGUGUGGGGUGGGGGGCUGAAUAAUGAGUAGUUUUGAGUUCAGGUCAUUUUAAAGAUGAUCCCGUUUGUGCAGCUCUUGUAAACGGAGCAUUAUUGGUAAUUUUCCUGUAUUUUCAAAUGGAACUUAAUAGUAUUUCUGACACGGAUAAUUAAUCAUUUGUAAACAGUCAUUUUUGGAUUGGUCUUUGUUUUGUUUAAAAGAAAGAAAAUUAAAUAAAAUGUUGAGCCCAGUAGAGGUAAAGAUCUGUUGAAGUGUUUCUGUUGCAUACAAGCUCUGUUUCUUAUCUUAAAUGAUGACUUUGUUUUUUUAUGCCACUUCAAAAUAAAAAAGCUAUUUUAUUUACA
Long non-coding RNA from Notothenia coriiceps (black rockcod), 592 nucleotides. RefSeq lists it as uncharacterized. The transcript is spliced from 5 exons. The record is from RefSeq and is a predicted model, not a curated record. NCBI's taxonomy places the organism in Eukaryota, Metazoa, Chordata, Actinopteri, Perciformes, Nototheniidae.